AUCUGCAUUGUGUAACUUUGAAUUUCCCCUAAUUUCACCUAAAAAAUUUAGGGUUUUUUCCUUCCUACGAGUAAUGUGAUGGUUAUGCUUUGUCUUCAUCUUUCUUCAAUCAGUGUUUGCUAAACAAAAUUACAAUUUUUGCCUUCUUUUUAGAAGUCAAUUCAGCGAUUGAUGGCAAUUCUAAAGAUGAAACUUGGCAAAGAAAAUCCUUGCAAGCAUCAUGUAUGGAAUUCUUUGUCAUUUUGGUUCGUUCUUUUGGGAAGGAGGUCAAUACGCAGGGGCGAUCUUCUUGGUUUUACUAAGGAAAGAUAUGGAUGAACAGUUGCAAUGCUAGAAAUUCUUAUUUUGGUUCCUUUCAGUCUAGUUAGGGUUUUAAAUAAAAGUUAGAAUUUUAAGUUGAUUUGAUUCUAUUAUCUGCUAGGGUUUAAUUGUUUUUGUUAUCGUUUGGUGGUUGUUUAUUGUGUCAAUAAUUUCUAUGUGGGUGUUUUUCCUUUUGUGUCAAAAAUGAUUUCAUUUAUUCUUAUUUUUGUUAUUUUCUUCCUCAAAAAAACCUUUCUUGCUUUUUGUUAGAUUGUUCCAUUACUUGUGGAGGUUGAAUAAUGGAUGAAUUACACUAACUGUCACUAUAGUUUGGAGCUUGUAUAGUUCCUAACUUUUCAAUUGUAACACAUUUGACUCUUAAUUUGGAAUCUUGUUUCAAAAAAGGACAAUUGAAAAUCUAU
Camellia sinensis is the source of this 722-nucleotide long non-coding RNA. RefSeq lists it as uncharacterized. The record is from RefSeq and is a predicted model, not a curated record. NCBI's taxonomy places the organism in Eukaryota, Viridiplantae, Streptophyta, Magnoliopsida, Ericales, Theaceae.